CCCUUAGAUGUUCUGGGCCGCACGCGCGCUACACUGACUGGUGCAACAAGUGUCGCUCCUUGGCCGAUAGGCCUGGGCAAUCUUUGAACGCCAGUCGUGAUGGGGAUAGAUUCUUGCAAUUUUUGAUCUUCAACGAGGAAUUCCUAGUAAACGCGAGUCAUCAACUCGCAUUGAUUACGUCCCUGCCCUUUGUACACACCGCCCGUCGCACCUACCGAUUGAAUGGUCCGGUGAACCCUCCGGAUCGGCCCGCGCCAACGCAAGUUGGGCAAAGGCCGAGAAGUUGGGUAAACCUUACCAUUUAGAGGAAGGUGAAGUCGUAACA
This 325-nucleotide ribosomal RNA is filed under the name uncultured eukaryote. RNAcentral's name for it is "partial 18S ribosomal RNA". It matches the Rfam family "Eukaryotic small subunit ribosomal RNA", at positions 1470 to 1796 of the family's 1831-position model. The record is from RNAcentral.